UUUCCAUUCCGUUUACUGAUUAAACAUCCUAGUUUUGUUUAAUGUUUCCAAGACGAACGUCCGGUCGCCACGCCGCUCCGGCCCUAGACCACCGGCAACCCGGCAUAUGUUUCAAAUUUUCUACGACAAUUUCGUUUUUCGUCGUUCGACGGUCCCGGAAACAUCUCUAAAGAGAAUUUCUCCAGAAAACACCAAUCGCAUACAUAUAAGGCAUAAUGUUAAAUGCGCACCAAGCCGGAUGGACAUUAUAAUCAUGCCUACGCGUUUCUACGCACAAUACUAAAAUGAACGAUCCAGAGACGGUCGUAGUACCCGCAUGUGUUGUCUUCGUCUUAUACUAACGCUUGACAUACCAAAACUUAUUUAGUAUUUUCAACUUUAUGUUGUAAGCUCAAAUAUUAGAGUGAACUCAGCUAUUAUAAAACUUGAAGAUGCAGUUUUGUUUAUCAUAUUCAAGUUUGGUCGUGGAAACAUACAUUGUUUACUAUAGAGAAUUAAAUCUCAAGACUAGUCAACUAAAAAAUUUGUGAGCUUAAACAUGUGUUAUGAACAAAUUGGUUAUUAUAAAUAGUUUGUGAUCAAAAUGUAUCGGAGUUGGUAAAUUGCGUUCCCCAAAUAAAGGUAUAUUCAUAUGCUAUGUGAAUUGCGGCCCAUGUACUAUUAAAACAUACGUAAAUUGCGUCCCGGGCAUAUUUGGAAUGUACGUAAACUGCGGCUAUGGAUAUUCCGAUUUCCAGUCGGCUGUACAAUUCAAUUAUAAGUAUUAAUUUUUGAUUGAUAAUAUACACUAAUAUAAUAUUACUAAUUACUAUCGGCCAGUGUGCAUGUGAUCUAAGAUCUUACGCACGAGGUUUUACGUUGCUUUACAGCUUACGAAUCAUUUUUAAACGUAAUAAAAAUGUACGCGUUAUGAAAAGCGAAAGGAAUAAAAUUUUGAAAGUAGUUAACGGUUUCAAGUUUCGUUUUCACAAAUUGCUAAAAAAUAGUAUUUAACUUUGGCGUUGCACAAUUAAAAUCUGUUUUUUGAAAUUUAAUGAUAAUAAUAUGUGUAUAGUUUUCAAGAUCACAAUCAUUUUUAAAAUUUCGGAACAAAUAAUAAAUCGGCAGAAACUUGACAACAAUUUAAAAAGAUUCCGUUGAUGAUAUGUUUACCAGACCAUCUAAAAUUAUCCAUUCUGAAUUAAAAAAUGCUUGGAUGUAAUUUACGUAUGAAUAAAAAAUAUUAAUUUAUACCCAGGCCGCAAUUUACGUAUGUACAAAAUAUAUCCGGGCCGCAAUUUACAUAAAAAAUUAAAAAUGGGACACAAUUAACAGCGACCCAAAUGUAUAAAGGUACCGCGGUUUUGUUCAAAAAUGCCAACCGUACUAAUUGGUACUUAUUUCAAUAUCGCACAGAUAGUUUUCAUGGGUUAGCUUAAAAAUCAAAAGCCAACCAACCAAUAUGAGAUACACAUGUGCUAUUAGGAGGAUGCUGGGGCAUUCCAAGGCUCUAAUUUAGCACCCCAGUUCAAAAACAUCAACAAUUGAAAAAUAACCAAUUAGAUACUGGACUACGUCACACGAUGAUCAAUCAGUUAUCAAGUUAUGGAAACAUAUUACCUACUUAGAAAGAAUUAAGUUUUCAAGACUCGUCUAAUUAACUUAAUUUUAAAAUUUUAAAGCCUACUAAACGUGUAAUUUUAAAAACAAAUCUGGGUGGUCGCUUAUACAAACAUUUUUUUAGAAAAAUUUAGAAAAAAAAUCUGAAGGUAACGGGUUUUCUUUUUUUAUAAUUUAAUAAUUGUAAUUGGUAUAAUUAUAAAAGUAUCCACUUUUUAUUUAACAGAGUUCAACCGUACUGUUCGUACUUAUUUCAAUAUCGCACGAAUGGCCAACGUGCGGUGGAGUAAAAAUGAAAAAAAAAAACCACCAACCAACAAGUACACGUAGUCAAAGAAUCGAAAAAAACGCCAGUCAAGUCAUGCGGAGCAGCAGUACACAUGACGCGCGGCGAGAGUUUGAGAAAAAAAAAAAACCGUAUCGUGUGAAGUGGCGCCUCUUCACACGAGUAUCCCAGCCGGACACGCUUUUCGGAUCGCCCCCGCGCACAGUAUUCAU
Long non-coding RNA from Rhopalosiphum padi (bird cherry-oat aphid), 2097 nucleotides. RefSeq lists it as uncharacterized. The record is from RefSeq and is a predicted model, not a curated record. The transcript is spliced from 6 exons. NCBI's taxonomy places the organism in Eukaryota, Metazoa, Arthropoda, Insecta, Hemiptera, Aphididae.